AGGACCGCUUGGGCCUGGGAGUUCAAGGCUGUAGUGCACUAUGAUCACACCUGUGAAUAGCCACUGCAUUCCUACAUUCCAGCCUGGGCUGCAUAGUGAGACCCUGUCUCUAAAAACAAUUUCUUUUAUAAAAAAAAAAAAAGAUUUUUAAAGACAGCUGUCACUAGAUUUAGUGCACACUCUAAAUCCAGGAUGAUCAUAUCUCAAGAUAAUUAGAUCCACAAAAACCUUUUACUAAGUAAGGUCAGAUUUGCAGUUUCUACAGGUUAGGACACAAAUAUAUCUUUUUGGGAGGCCACCAUUCAACCUAUACAGUGAGCUCUAGUUGUAUAUUCUGCAAAUGUUCCUAUGUGUAGUUAAUUAUUGCUUGGCAUACUGGCAUGAGAGUGUCUUCUAGGGAUAUGACCAGCACCUACUCACUUUGCCACCUGCCCCAGCAUCACAAAGCAAUGCAGGAUAAGAGAUUGUGUCACAAAAUGGUUAUGUCUUACAAUGCCCAGCACCAGAAGGGUCUAAGUAAGGAAAGCAAACAAGGUUUGAAAUGUGUGGAGCCAGACAUUUAUCUGUGGAAGGGUCUUUUAAUUAUUGGGCCUAGAACCAACCAUUUCUCCAAGGAGCCCUGGCUCCUGUUAGGAAAGAAAGGCGUUUAGAAACUAAGAUCUGGAUACCAGAUAUGCUUCCUAUGCAGACGCUCUUCCCUCCUCAGGCUUGGACACCCUCCACAUCAAGCAUCAUAAUGUUUCACUCUUGUGGCCCAGGAUGGAGUGUAAUGGUAAGAUCUCAGCUCACUACAACCUCUGCCUCCGGGGUUCAAGCGAUUCUCCUGCUGCAGCCUCCCAAAGUAGCUGGAAUUACAGGUGCCUGCCACCAUACCAAGCUAAUUUUUUUGUAUUUCAAGUUGAGAUGGGGUUUCACCAUGUUGGCCACACUGGUCUUGAACUCUUGACCUCAGGUGAUCCAGCUGCUUUGGCCUCCCAAAGUGCUGGGAUUACAGGUGUGGGCCACCGCGCUCAGCACAAAAAUACUUUCUAUCUCCUCUAUGGCUUUGCCUUGCCUGGCCCCUGCUUGCUGCGCCAGCCUCCCCUCCUAGCACACUCCCCCCACUAUCUGCCCUCCAACCACAUGGCAACCUUUCAGUUCCUUGAGGGCUCCAUGCUUCCUCCCACCCCAGGACCUUUACAUGAAACAUUCCUUCUGCCUGGAAUGCUAUUCUCCUGUAUCACCUAGUUAACUCCUACUCAUUCUUCAGGUGUCAGCUCAGCUGUCAUUUUCUCAGGCAGGGCUUCUCUGAUUCCAUUCUAAUGUAAGUACUUCUUUUAGCCACUCUGAUCUGCCACGAAUCUUUCCUCUAUAACAUUCAGUUAUAAUUGUACACUUAUUUAAUAAUAAUUUAAUAAUUAUCUUUCUCUAGACAGUAAGUCAAUAAAGUAGGAUCAUCUCGGUUUUGCUCACUGCUGUAUCCCUAGCACCUAGCAGAGUGAAGGGGACAAAUAUUUUUUUUUUUUUGAAUGAAUGGACAGACUCCUUAAAAUUGUCUGAAUGAUACUGACAGGAAAAUUUCAUCUAUGUGGACAAGGUCUCAGACCACAUGGCUUGACCCAGAGAUCUCAGCUUUUUAGUCACUAUAGUGAGUCUGGGCUAUCUGGGGCCUCCUGUGGACAGAGUGAGUUGUUCAAGUUCCACCUCAUAAGGCUUGGUCUAACACUCUUUGCAAUGCACUCUUGCUCCCUGCCUGCAAAUAGAUUCCACCAGGCUUUUAGUUUGUUGCUUUGAUGAGGUUGUAUUUUUUAAAAAAAGAAGCCAGGCAGGUUGAAUCCUGCCAAAUUGCAUCUCUACACAGAAAACCCCACGGCUGAAUGCCUGGCUGCUCUGUGGUUCAGAGCUUGGAAUUUCUAGAGAGGAAAACAUUGAGAUUGCCCACUAGUUAAUAUGGGGUACACUGGGGAAGAAUUUCUGUAAGUCAAAGAUUUAACUCCGGCUUCUGCAUUAUUCUAGGUCCAAAUACAAAGUCCUCCCCUGACCUUAGAAUUCUGUGUCUGGAUGCUUUUGGUUACAAAACCAGAAAACUCCUUCUCAACUGGCUUAAACAGUGAGUUUCUUAUCACACAUCACAGGAGGCUGGAGGUAGGGCAACCCAGGGCCUUUUAAUUGGGCUGUUUGCAUACUCCAUGGAGGACCUGAAUUCUUUCCAUCCCUGUUUUCUAUGUGUGGUUCUGCCCUUGCUUUUUUCAUUUGACAAUAUAUCCUUAAAAUCAUUUCCAACAUGACAGAAAGAGCUGCCCUAUUGUUUUCUUUUUAUAUUGAAUAGUCUUCCAUUUUAAAGAGAUAUCAUAAUUUAUUUAACCAAUUCCCUCAUUGUGAGCACUUGUUUCCAAUCCUUUGCUCUUACAGUGAUGUGAUGAAUACUUGCACAUGUUAUUUUACAUGUGACUGAGUGCAUCCAAGGAUAAAUUCCUAGAAGUGAAUUUGCUGGGUCAUGAGCUAUAUGCCUUUGUAAUUUUGGUAGAUGUUGCCAAUCUGUCCUCCACAGAGAUUGUAUCAAUCUACUCCCCUCCCCAAAUGUGUACAAGAGCACUUCAAGUCUUUAUUUAUUUAUUUAUUUAUUUUUGAGACAGAGUCUCACUCUGUCACCAGGCUGGAGUGCAGUGAUGUAAUCUCAGCUCACUACAACCUCCGCCUCCCAGGUUCAAGCAAUUCUUCUGCCUCAGCCUCCCAAGUAGCUGGGACUACAGGCAUGCACCACCACACCCAGCUAAUUUUUUGUAUUUUUAGUAGAGAUGAGGUUUCACCAUGUUAGCCAGGAUGGUCUUGAUCUCUUGACCUCGUGAUCUGCCCACCUCGGCCUCCCAAAGUGCUGGGAUUAGAGGCAUGAGCCGCUGUGCUUGGCCAAGUCUUUUUGACACCUUAACUUAAACAUAGACUAGAAAAAAAAUAAUGGAAGGUGACUGGGCGAUUUCUGCAUAGAAAAACAAAGAUGGGUUAUUUAUCAACUCAGUCAUUUUAACUGGCACCAACAGAAGCCUCAGUGCUUUUUAAAUAAAUUAUUAAUCUCUGUGGACUCCCCUGCUAUCACAGUUGUCUAACGGUACCAGGCUGUCCAUGCACAGUCCAUCGUUCAGAACUCAGUAUCUGCAAUUUAAUCAUUCUGUCCACAAACAACUCCUCUCUAGAGGUCUUUUCUCCCCAUCUCCACCCGGCAAUCUCCUAGUCCUCCCUCAGGCCUCGCUGAAAUGCCCCUCCUCCAUUAAACAUUAUCUGACACGCCCAGGCAGAAUUAGUCACUUCUUAUUGCUCCCAUGGAAUUUUGUUCACACCUCAAUCAUGGCACGAAUCACUUGUAAUGUAAUUAUCCACUUACCUGUUCGUCUCCCACACUGAAUGCCUUAAGGAUAGAAACUUCAUCUUCAUCUUUGGACCAGCGCUUCUGCGCAUGGUGCUUGGCACAUAAACACUUCACCACUAAAGUUUGCUGGAAUGAAAUCAGGUAAGGUCGCAGUUUUGUGGUGCCUGGUGGCAAAAUCAAACAAUAUUGUUUUCCUUUUCUGGUGGUGUUGAUGAGAAGGUCAAAAAUUUGGCACUUCUGAAUAUUUCUUUAUAUCUUUCAUUGUUUCUGGACUUCUCCUGGAAUCUGUCCUAUUCUGUGCUGUGUUCUCAGUGCCUACAACAGUGCCUGGGAAACAACAGGCAUUUCAUAAAUGUUGAAUGAAUGGAUAUCUUUGAUCAGAGGAAGCUUCCAAAUGCAGCUGGAUUUUUUUUUUUUUUUUUUUUUUGGCCUGCUUCAUGUGCCCAAAGGAUAUUUCCAAGUCUUUCCAAAGCCUCAAGCAUGGACCCUCAUUUGCCCAUUCUGAGUAUUUGGGUUUUAUUUCACCUCAAGUUAAUGCAUGUAAAAGUGCUUACUUAGAACAGUGCCAGCUACUUAGUAAGCAUUCAGUAAAUGCUGACUAUUGUUUUUUAUUAUUAUUCCCACUAGUCCAAACAUGCUCCCAUCAGUCCACCCCCUGUGCUGGGCUCUUCAUUUCUUUCUGCACCAGAUAAUGUGGACUCAAUCCCUGGAAAACAUCCACGUAAGCAUCCAGGUUUCAAUUUAUCAACUGUGUAACCUUGGGCCAGUUAUUUCAUCUCUUGGAGGCUCAGCUUCUUCAUUUGGAAAAUAGGCAUCUUAAAAGCUACCUCUAGAUAGAUAUUAGAUAGACGUUGCUAUGAGGAUUAAAUGAACCAAUCCAUGGACACUGCUUGCCAUCAUGCAGGGCUCAGAGUCAGCAUUUAGCUAGCAUCGUGAUCAUAAUCAUCCUCAUCAUCAUCAUCAUCAUCAUCAUUGCAGACGCCAAAAACCUUUCAUCUCUUCUUUCUGGGAGGCUCAUUCCCACAGCUCUUCUGGCUGAUGGUAAAUCUUUAGCUGGUUCUGAAGUUUGGGGCAUCACCAAGAUGCUUGCGUUGACUAGGUGAUAUGGUUUGGCUCUGCAUCCCCACCCAAAUCUCAUCUCGAAUUGUAAUCCCCACAUUUCAGGGGAGGAGUCUGGUGGGAGGUGAUUGAAUCAUGGGUGUGGACUCCCCCCUGGCUGUUCUUGACAGUGAGUGAAUUCUCACAAGCUCUGGUUGUUUGAAAACGUAUAGCACUUCCCCCUUCACUCUUUCUUUCUCCUGCUCUGUCAUGGUAAGACAUGCUUGCUUCCCCUUUGCCUUCUGCCAUGAUUGUAAGUUUCCUGAGGCCUUCCAGCCAUGCUUCCUGUUUAGCCUGCUAAACUUUGAGUGAAUUAAACCUCUUUUCUGCACAAACUACUCAUUCUCAGGCAGCUCUUUAUAGCAGUAUAAAAACAGAAUAUACAGAAAAUUAUUUAUAAUAGCUAUAAAGAUACCUGAAAAUGUAGAAGCAACUUUGGAACUGGGCAACAGGCAGAGGCUGGAACAGUUGGAAAGCUCAGAAGAAGAUAAAAAGAUGUGGGAAAGUUGAGAACUUCCUAAAGACUUGUUGCAUUGUUUUGACCAAAAUGUUGAUAGUGAUAUGGACAAUGAAGUCCAGGCUGAAGUGGUCUUAGAUGGGGAUGAGGAACUUAUUGGAAACUAGAAUAAAGGUCACUCUUGCUAUGUUUCAGCAAAGAGACUGGUGGCAUUUUUCCCCUACCCUAGAGAUCUAUGGAACUUUGAAUUUGAGGGAGAUGAUUGAGGAUAUCUGCUGGAAGAAAUUUCUAAGUAGCAAAACAUUCAAGAGGUAACCUGGCUGUUUCUAAAAGUGUAUGCUCAUAUGCAGGAACAAAGAGAUGAUUUGAAACUGGAACUUCUAUUUAAAAGCAAAGCAGAGGAUACCAGUUUGGAAAAUGUGCAGCCUGGCCAUGUGGUAGAAAAGAAAAAUCCAUUUUCUGGGGAGAAAUUCAAGACUGCUGCAGAAGUUUACAUAAGUAAAGAAGAGUUAAAUAGCCAAGACAAUGGAAAAAAUGUCUCCUGGGCAUUUCAGAGACCUCUGAGGCAGCCCCUCCCAUCACAGGCCCAGAGCCCUAGAAGAAAAAAAUGGUUACAUGGCCCAGGCCCAGGACCCAGGACCCAGCUGCUCUGUGCAGCCUUGGGACAUGGCACCCUGAAUCCCAGCCCUCCAGCUCCAGCCAUGGCUAAAAGGGGCUAAGGUUACAGCUCAGGCCAUUACUUCAGAGGUUGUAAGCCCCAAGCUUUCACGGCUUCCACGUGAUGUUGGGCCUGCAGGAGUGCAGAAAGCAAGAGUUGAGGUUUUGAAACCUCCGCCUACAUUUCAGAGGAUGUACGGAAAUGCCUGGAUGUCCAGGCAGAAGUCAGCUGCAGGGGCAGAGCCCUCAUGGGGAACCUCUACUAGGACAGUGCAGAGGGGAAAUGUGGGAUUGGAGCCCCAACACAGACUCCCCACUGGGGCACUGCCUAGUGGAACCAUGAGAGGAGGGCUAGCAUCCUCCAGACCCCAGAACAGUACAUUCACUGACAGCUUGCACCAUGUGCCCAGAAAAGCCACAGCCACUCAGUGCUAGCCUGUGAAAGCAGCUGUGGGGGCUAUACCCUGCAGAACCACAGAGUCAAAGCUUCCCAAGGCCUUGGGAACCCACCUCUUGCAUUAGCAUGCCCUGGAUGUGAGACAUGGAGUCAAAGGAGAUUAUUUUGGAGCUUUGGGAUUUAAUGACUGCCUUGCUGAGUUUCGAACUUGCAUAAGACCUGUAGUCCCUUGGUUUUGGCCAAUUUCUCCCUUUCACAAUGGGAGCAUUUAUCCAAUGCCUGUACUCCCAUUGUAUCUUGAAAGUUAUUAACUUGUUUUUUAUUUGACAGACUCAUAGGUGGAAGGGGCCUGCCUUGUCUCAGAUGAGACUUUGGAUGUAGACUUUUGAGUUAACUCUGGAAUGAAUUAAGACUUUGGGGACUGUUGGGAAGGCAUGAUUGUCUUUAAAAUGUGAGGACAUGAUAUUUCAGAGGGGCCAGGGGUAGAAUAAUAUGGUCUGGCUCUCUGUCCUCACUCAAAUCUCAUGUGGAAUUGUAAUCCCCACAAGUCAGGGGAGGGGCCUGGUGGGAGGUGACUGAAUCAUGGGGUGGACUUCCCCCUUGCUGUUCUUGGAAGAGUUAGUGAGUUCUCAUAAUUUCUGGUUGUCUGAAAGUGUGUGGCACUUCCCCCUUCACUCUUGCUCUCUCCUGCCCCACCAUGAUAAGACAUGUUUGCUUCCCCUAACUCUUCCGCCACAAUUGUAAGUUACCUGAGGCCUCCCAGCCAUGCUUCCUGUUAAGCCGAACUGUGAGUAAAUUAAAUCUCUUUUCUUGAUAAAUUGCCAAGUCUCAUGUAGUCCUUUAUAGCAGUGUUAAAAUGUACUAAUAUACCGAAGUUCCUGUUCGUCCCCCCUUACCCUCCUAGAUGGAUUAUUUAAAGAUAUUUAUUUCAUUCACACAAAAAUGUUUUGUUCUGACCCAUUCCUGAGAGCUGAGAGUAGGCUGUAGGGACUCUGAAUAAGAAAAUAAGAGCAGCCUACUCUCCCUGACCAUA
Molecule: long non-coding RNA, 6985 nt
Organism: Callithrix jacchus (white-tufted-ear marmoset)
Lineage: Eukaryota; Metazoa; Chordata; Mammalia; Primates; Cebidae
Source: RefSeq, a predicted model, not a curated record